RNAcentral lists this ribosomal RNA (364 nucleotides) under uncultured bacterium. RNAcentral describes it as "partial 16S ribosomal RNA". It matches the Rfam family "Bacterial small subunit ribosomal RNA", at positions 355 to 711 of the family's 1533-position model. The record is from RNAcentral.
UGGGGAAUAUUGGCAAAUGGGCGAAAGCCUGAUCCAGCCAUGCCGCGUGUGUGAAGAAGGUCUUCGGCUUGUAAAGCACUUUAAGUUGGGAGGAAGGGCAUUAAACUAAUACGUUAGUGUUUUGACGUUACCGACAGAAUAAGCACCGGCUAACUCUGUGACAGCAGCCGCGGUAAUACAGAGGGUGCAAGCGUUAAUCGGAAUUACUGGGCGUAAAGCGCGCGUAGGUGGUUUGUUAAGUUGGAUGUGAAAGCCCCGGGCUCAACCUGGUAACUGCAUUCAAAACUGACUGACUAGAAGAUGGUAGAUGGUGGUGGAAUUUCCUGUGUAGCGCUGAAAUGCGUAGAUAUAGGAAGGAACACCA